Bos mutus (wild yak) is the source of this 136-nucleotide ribosomal RNA. The record is from Ensembl. NCBI's taxonomy places the organism in Eukaryota, Metazoa, Chordata, Mammalia, Artiodactyla, Bovidae.
GUCUAUGGCCAUAGCACUCUGAACGCACCCAGAUCUCAUCUGAUCUCAGAAGCUAAGCAGGAUCGGGCCCAGUUAGUACUUGGAUGGGAGAAUAACUUGUAUUCUUUUUAGUUGUCAUGUUAAUGGGUUGCAGAUA